Molecule: ribosomal RNA, 164 nt
Filed under: uncultured bacterium
Lineage: Bacteria
Description: partial 16S ribosomal RNA
Rfam family: Bacterial small subunit ribosomal RNA
Source: RNAcentral
UAGGGAAUCUUCCACAAUGGGCGCAAGCCUGAUGGAGCAACACCGCGUGAGUGAAGAAGGGUUUCGGCUCGUAAAGCUCUGUUGUUAAAGAAGAACACGUAUGAGAGUAACUGUUCAGGUAUUGACGGUAUUUAACCAGAAAGCCACGGCUAACUACGCGCCAG